Ictidomys tridecemlineatus (thirteen-lined ground squirrel) is the source of this 1449-nucleotide long non-coding RNA. RefSeq lists it as uncharacterized. The record is from RefSeq and is a predicted model, not a curated record. Lineage: Eukaryota; Metazoa; Chordata; Mammalia; Rodentia; Sciuridae.
GGGGGGGGGGACGGGGCGCUCAGACCAGGACCCAGAGAAAGUUAUUCCAGGCUCACUUGUUCCAGAAAUAGAACCAAGCAGAAGAGAGGGGGCUGGAGGGCAGUAACGGGGCACUCGUGAGUCGGAGGCUGGGCCUGUGCAGUGGCCCUCUCAAGGCCACUCUCAACAGCCAUCGCAACAAGUCACUUAAUGCUCUGUGCCUCCUCCUCGGGGGCAUCCUGUCACUUUGCGUCACGGGGCCUGAGAAGGAGCACUUUGAUCCUCUUCUGGCCAACUGAGUUUCUGGCCAGCUCCUCGGGAGCCAAGAUCUUAAACCAGCCGUGCCACAGAAGGCCAGCCCGCCCAAUCACUGCAGCGCAAGUGAAGAGCUCUUCCCCGAAACCCCAAGGCUACCUCGGAACAGAGGCCCGGGAGUUGGGCGCUGAGGAACGUCCACGGAUUCCCCAAAGAUGACCGCCCAUGGCCACUCAGUGCCCUGGAGUGAAAUGCAUCUGGCCCAGGUUGAAACACGGCCAUCUCCAUCCUGGAUGGACAGCAGGCCAUGAGCGAUCUCCAAGAGCAGUCAGCACCCCACUGUUCUUCCAUGGGGCAGCGAGUACUGAUCCAACCCUGGGAACCUUGGGGAGGUCAUUUUAAAAUCUUAGGGCCCGUGUGUUUUCUUAGAAAAGAAGUCCUGGCAACUCUGGCAAGGAAAAAACAGUGCAGCCCUAGCAUGUUGGCUGGCACAUAGUAGGUGGAUAGACAGACAAACCCUCUCCCAAAGCCCACUAGCUAACAGAGAAGCUAGCUAUUUAGAAAGAGGGACAGGAGAAGCCCAGCACCUGGUAACACAAGGUUCUUACAUCAGGAGCAGGCUCUGGGGUACCUGGGAGAAAGCAGACCAGGGUGUGCUCGCGAUCCAGCCCCUGCCAUGCUAGCUGUGUGACCAUGGACAAGACACCGACCUCUCCUGAACCCUAGUUUGCUCCACUGUACAAUAUGCUCUUCCCGCCUGCCCAGGAUGGGCUCGGGCCUGCCCAGGUCUCCAGUGACCUCAUGUCAUGGGAAGGACUUUGAAAACUGCGGGUGCUACGCAAAUGACAAGUGACGUUUGUCAUUAUUAGUGGUUAGGAGGGUGGACCCUGGUGGCAGACUGCUGAGUGAAAAUCCCACUCUCCCUUUUAAUAGGUCUGCAGCCUUUAGCCUCCGUUCCUCAUCCCAGAUAUCAGGGAUAAAGCACAGAGCCCCUCCUUUGUGCCACUGUCAGGAUUAAGAGAGUUUAUUUUGAAAAACAUGCAACAAAGGUCCACAAAAGGGUUAGCACUUCACUGUCGUUGUAAUAAAAGACCCCCUCACAUAUGGGGAGAGUUCCAGGAUCCCCAAUGAAUGCCUGAAGCCAUGAAUGGCACUGAAUCCUACAUAUACAUGAAGAACUUUUACCUUUUUGCUUAAAGGACUCACUUUAUGGUU